CAAUGUUGGAUCACUUUACUCUCUUUAAAGAGCGUUACUCGUAUUUUCUUCACCUUCACUCUCUUCCAUUCACUCCUCUCAUCUCCAUCUCCUUUGGUCAAUCUUUGAGCACAUCCAUGGCAAACCAAACUACGAACUCUACCUCCAAACAUCAUGAAAAAUAAGUGCGUAAGCUUUUACUGUAUGAUAAUAUUCACAAACAACAUGGAGAAGGACCAAAGAUGUUGCUGAAAAAACCUUGAAGAUCAAGAUGUAAAACAAUUGAUAGAUCAAAUCCACACGGAGCGAGGCAAAUAAGUUAAAUUUUGUUUUGCCAGGUGCUACCCAUGCUUCAUAGUUUCCUUAUAGUUGGUAAUUUAAUUACUUUUGGGCUUGAAGACUUUCCAGGAAGUAGCUAGGUACAUGUUCUUUGGUGUGGAGCAUCAAUAACCCAUGUAUCAAUACCAAGUUCAAUUACAGAUGGAAACGAAAAUCUUAUGUAGAGUGCAUAGUGAGAAUUUUUAGUAUCCAUUUCUUUUAUGAACCAUGCCUAGUUCCUUUGCUUCAAUGCAAGUGGAUUGAACUUUUUUUUAUGUAGCACUCAUGGUUUCGCUGAGGUUGAUUUUAUUUUAUUUUUGGAAAAGUAUGUGUGUAAGCUUUUACUAUAUGAUAAUUUUGACAAUAAACAUGCAGAGGAGACAAAAGAUGUUGAAGAAAGAACCUUCAAGAUACGGAUAAAAUAAUUGAUAGAUCUAAUUCACAUGGA
Glycine soja is the source of this 745-nucleotide long non-coding RNA. RefSeq lists it as uncharacterized. The transcript has 3 exons. The record is from RefSeq and is a predicted model, not a curated record. Lineage: Eukaryota; Viridiplantae; Streptophyta; Magnoliopsida; Fabales; Fabaceae.